RNAcentral lists this ribosomal RNA (522 nucleotides) under uncultured bacterium. RNAcentral describes it as "bacterial SSU rRNA". It matches the Rfam family "Bacterial small subunit ribosomal RNA", at positions 988 to 1509 of the family's 1533-position model. The record is from RNAcentral.
CCAGAGAACUUUCCAGAGAUGGGAUUGGUGCCUUCGGGAACUCUGAGACAGGUGCUGCAUGGCUGUCGUCAGCUCGUGUCGUGAAAUGUUGGGUUAAGUCCCGCAACGAGCGCAACCCUUAUCCUUUGUUGCCAGCGGUUAGGCCGGGAACUCAAAGGAGACUGCCAGUGAUAAACUGGAGGAAGGUGGGGAUGACGUCAAGUCAUCAUGGCCCUUACGAGUAGGGCUACACACGUGCUACAAUGGCGCAUACAAAGAGAAGCGACCUCGCGAGAGCAAGCGGACCUCAUAAAGUGCGUCGUAGUCCGGAUUGGAGUCUGCAACUCGACUCCAUGAAGUCGGAAUCGCUAGUAAUCGUGGAUCAGAAUGCCACGGUGAAUACGUUCCCGGGCCUUGUACACACCGCCCGUCACACCAUGGGAGUGGGUUGCAAAAGAAGUAGGUAGCUUAACCUUCGGGAGGGCGCUUACCACUUUGUGAUUCAUGACUGGGGUGAAGUCGUAACAAGGUAAGCGUAGUGCU